Molecule: ribosomal RNA, 752 nt
Filed under: uncultured organism
Description: bacterial SSU rRNA
Rfam family: Bacterial small subunit ribosomal RNA
Source: RNAcentral
GGCUCAGGACGAACUCUAGCGACGUGCCUAAGAAAUGCAAGUCGAGCGAGGCCAUGGAGCUUGCUCCGGAAGCCUAGCGGCGAACGGUCGCGUAACACGUAAGCAACCUGCCCCAAAGUUUGGGAUAGCCCUCCGAAAGGGGGAUUAAUACCGGAUGUGGAUGUCGAUAUGCAUGUAUUGACAUCUAAAGCAUUUAUGCGCUUUGGGAUGGGCUUGCGGCCUAUCAGCUAGUUGGUGAGGUAACGGCUCACCAAGGCGACGACGGGUAGCUGGUCUGAGAGGAUGGUCAGCCGGACUGGGACUGAGACACGGCCCAGACUCCUACGGGGGGCAGCAAUUAGGAAUCUUGCGCAAUGGGCGAAAGCCUGACGCAGCGACGUCGCGUGAACGAUGAAGUCUUUCGGGAUGUAAAGUUCUUUUCUGAGGGAAGAAGGAUGUGACGGUACCUCAGGAAUAAGCCCCGGCUAACUACGUGCCAGCAGCCGCGGUAAUACGUAGGGGGCGAGCGUUGUCCGAAUUUACUGGGCGUAAAGCGCGCGUAGGCGGACUCUUAAGUUGGUGGUGAAAUGCCGAGGCUCAACCUCGGAACUGCCUUCAAAACUGGGAGUCUAGAGGCUUGGAGAGGGAAGUGGAAUUCCUGGUGUAGCGGUGAAAUGCGUAGAUAUCAGGAGGAACACCGAUGGCGAAGGCAGCUUCAUGGCCAUGUCCUGACGCUGAAGUGCGAAAGCUAGGGUAGCGAACGGGAUUAGAUA